This 447-nucleotide ribosomal RNA is filed under the name uncultured bacterium. Its description in RNAcentral is "partial 16S ribosomal RNA". It matches the Rfam family "Bacterial small subunit ribosomal RNA", at positions 29 to 523 of the family's 1533-position model. The record is from RNAcentral.
AGCGAACGCUGGCGGCAGGCUUAACACAUGCAAGUCGAACGGUCCUUCGGGAUAGUGGCGGACGGGUGAGUAACACGUGGGAACGUGCCCUUAGGUUCGGAACAACACAGGGAAACUUGUGCUAAUACCGGAUAAGCCCUUCGGGGGAAAGAUUUAUCGCCUUUGGAGCGGCCCGCGUCUGAUUAGCUUGUUGGUGAGGUAAUGGCUCACCAAGGCUACGAUCAGUAGCUGGUCUGAGAGGAUGGCCAGCCACACUGGGACUGAGACACGGCCCAGACUCCUACGGGAGGCAGCAGUGGGGAAUCUUGUGCAAUGGGCGAAAGCCUGACGCAGCCAUGCCGCGUGGAUGAUGAAGGUCUUAGGAUUGUAAAAUCCUUUCACCGGGGACGAUAAUGACGGUACCCGGAGAAGAAGCCCCGGCUAACUUCGUGCCAGCAGCCGCGGUAA